GAGAGAGAGAGAGAGAGAGAGAGGAAGGAAGGAAAGAAGGAAGGAAGGAGAUAGAAAUCAGCCCUGGUUUUUCAGAUUCUCCUUCCUUCCUUCCUUCCUUCCUUCCUUCCAUGCUGCCAGUCCGU
Podarcis lilfordi (Lilford's wall lizard) is the source of this 125-nucleotide non-coding RNA. NCBI's taxonomy places the organism in Eukaryota, Metazoa, Chordata, Lepidosauria, Squamata, Lacertidae. The record is from the annotation of a GenBank genome assembly.